Notechis scutatus (mainland tiger snake) is the source of this 158-nucleotide non-coding RNA. The record is from RefSeq and is a predicted model, not a curated record. Lineage: Eukaryota; Metazoa; Chordata; Lepidosauria; Squamata; Elapidae.
UUCUGUUCAUUAAUCUUCUUUGAUAUAUUAUUACAAUCUGCAGAAGGAAACUAUUUAGCCUGGGAUGAAAAACCAAACUGCUUUAGCUUGCAACACUGCAACCUUGUGCCUGUACUGCCAGCUGCUGAAUUGAGUUUGUUACAUGACCCUAGAGACGC